AGUGAACGCUGGCGGUAGGCCUAACACAUGCAAGUCGAACGGCAGCACAGUAAGAGCUUGCUCUUACGGGUGGCGAGUGGCGGACGGGUGAGGAAUACAUCGGAAUCUACUUUUUUGUGGGGGAUAACGUAGGGAAACUUACGCUAAUACCGCAUACGACCUACGGGUGAAAGCAGGGGAUCUUCGGACCUUGCGCGAUUGAAUGAGCCGAUGUCGGAUUAGCUAGUUGGCGGGGUAAAGGCCCACCAAGGCGACGAUCCGUAGCUGGUCUGAGAGGAUGAUCAGCCACACUGGAACUGAGACACGGUCCAGACUCCCACGGGAGGCAGCAGUGGGGAAUAUUGGACAAUGGGCGCAAGCCUGAUCCAGCCAUACCGCGUGGGUGAAGAAGGCCUUCGGGUUGUAAAGCCCUUUUGUUGGGAAAGAAAAGCAGCAGGUUAAUACCCCGCUGUUCUGACGGUACCCAAAGAAUAAGCACCGGCUAACUUCGUG
RNAcentral lists this ribosomal RNA (492 nucleotides) under uncultured bacterium. RNAcentral describes it as "partial 16S ribosomal RNA". It matches the Rfam family "Bacterial small subunit ribosomal RNA", at positions 29 to 507 of the family's 1533-position model. The record is from RNAcentral.